GAUGUGGAAGCAUAGUGAUAUGUGAAGCUGACCAAUACUAAUUGCUCGUGAGGCUUGACUAUACAACACCCA
RNAcentral lists this ribosomal RNA (72 nucleotides) under Acinetobacter baumannii ABNIH17. RNAcentral describes it as "partial 23S ribosomal RNA". Lineage: Bacteria; Pseudomonadati; Pseudomonadota; Gammaproteobacteria; Moraxellales; Moraxellaceae. RNAcentral also lists the same sequence under 1 other name. The record is from RNAcentral.